RNAcentral lists this long non-coding RNA (522 nucleotides) under Brassica rapa (field mustard). Its description in RNAcentral is "long non-coding RNA (BRAP_LNC002818)". Lineage: Eukaryota; Viridiplantae; Streptophyta; Magnoliopsida; Brassicales; Brassicaceae. The record is from RNAcentral.
UUGGUUUAGGUUCGGGUUGGUUAUUUGCGGGUCUGGAUCGGUCCGGAUCCGUUAUUCAUAUAUACAUGCAUUAUGAGAUUAAUAAGACAUGUUUUUGGAUACAUAACAAGUCCGGAUUAGUUUAGGUAUUUAGGACCCGAAAAAUACUCAAAGUACCUGAAAAUCCAAAAUAAUACUGAAACAAAAAAAAAACCCGAAAAUCCAAACAAAUACCCAAAAUUUUGAAAUACCGAAAACGACCCAAAAUUUUACCUGAAAUCUGACCUGAAUAACAAAAAAAAUACCAAAAUAUUAGUAUAGUUUUUUUAAUUAAAAUUUUACUCGAAACCCAAACUAAAAUCUAAAACCUGAACCCAAAACUUAAAAAAUAUUCGUAAUACCAAAAACAUAUCUAAAAUACUCAAAUAGACCUAAUAUACACAAAACAUUUCAGGUACUUGGGUACUUGGUCAUGUCUCUUAUGUACUGACCCGAAUCCAUAUCGCACCUAUAUUUCAAGAUCGAUAUUAGUUUGGUUUCACG